This 301-nucleotide ribosomal RNA is filed under the name uncultured bacterium. RNAcentral describes it as "partial 16S ribosomal RNA". It matches the Rfam family "Bacterial small subunit ribosomal RNA", at positions 509 to 807 of the family's 1533-position model. The record is from RNAcentral.
CAGCCGCCACGGUAAUACGUAGGUGGCAAGCGUUGUCCGGAAUUAUUGGGCGUAAAGCGCGCGCAGGUGGUUUAAUAAGUCUGAUGUGAAAGCCCACGGCUCAACCGUGGAGGGUCAUUGGAAACUGUUAAACUUGAGUGCAGGAGAGAAAAGUGGAAUUCCUAGUGUAGCGGUGAAAUGCGUAGAGAUGUGGAGGAACACCAGUGGCGAAGGCGACUCUCUGGUCUGUAACUGACGCUGAGGAGCGAAAGCGUGGGGAGCGAACAGGAUUAGAGACCCCGGUAGUCCCUGUCUCUUAUAC